RNAcentral lists this ribosomal RNA (253 nucleotides) under uncultured bacterium. RNAcentral describes it as "partial 16S ribosomal RNA". It matches the Rfam family "Bacterial small subunit ribosomal RNA", at positions 524 to 776 of the family's 1533-position model. The record is from RNAcentral.
UACGUAGGGUGCAAGCGUUGUCCGGAAUUAUUGGGCGUAAAGAGCUCGUAGGCGGUUUGUUGCGUCGGCUGUGAAAUCCCGAGGCUCAACCUCGGGUCUGCAGUCGAUACGAGCAAACUAGAGUGUUGCAGGGGAGACUGGAAUUCCUGGUGUAGCGGUGAAAUGCGCAGAUAUCAGGAGGAAUACCGGUGGCGAAGGCGGGUCUCUGGGCAACAACUGACGCUGAGGAGCGAAAGCGUGGGGAGCGAACAGG